RNAcentral lists this unclassified non-coding RNA (255 nucleotides) under Hevea brasiliensis (rubber tree). Lineage: Eukaryota; Viridiplantae; Streptophyta; Magnoliopsida; Malpighiales; Euphorbiaceae. The record is from RNAcentral.
UGGUGCUGGAGAUCCUAGAUUGGCAAAUUUUAGAUUCCGUCAGGUGCUCAUUGAUGAGUCCACUCAAGCAGCUGAACCUGAAUGCCUUAUUCCUUUGGUUCUUGGAGCAAAGCAGAUUGUCCUUGUUGGUGAUCACUGCCAGCUUGGACCUGUCAUUAUGUGCAAGAAAGCUGCACGGGCUGGGCUUGCUCAAUCCCUGUUUGAACGUCUUGUACUGCUGGGUGUGAAGCCAAUCAGGCUGCAGGUACAAUACCG